RNAcentral lists this unclassified non-coding RNA (358 nucleotides) under fungal sp. RNAcentral's name for it is "partial internal transcribed spacer region". Lineage: Eukaryota; Fungi. The record is from RNAcentral.
CUUGGUCAUUUAGAGGAAUUCCACGCGCUUGAUCUGCAGUUUUUCCGUGAGCACGAACGAGAUCCGGCCAUUCCAGGUGAGGCCCAUGCGUGUUGGAUAUUUGCCCGCGGCCAGAUGGGACUUGAUCUCUUUGCCGUCCAGAGGAUGACGGACAUAGCGCACGAUUGCCUUGUUCGGAUCCGCGGUCUGCAGCUCGAGGUCCUGGUCGAUACCAAAAGGACUCGGCGCGUCGCCGUGAUUCAACCAGGCGGCCAUCGAAGUAUGCGGAGUGCGUUUUGUCUCCACGAACUGCACGGCGAAGGUGCCGAGCGCAUCGCGUAGCGCUUCAACCAGCUCCUCGGCUUUCCCCACGCUGGAU